UACACACACACAGACUGCUGAGUCCAUACAAACACAGACACAUAGACUGCUGAGUCCAUACACACACAUACACAGACUGCUGAAUCCACACACACACACACACACACAGAGACUGCUGAGUCCUUACACACACACAGACUGCUGAGUCCAUACAAACACAGACACAUAGACUGCUGAGUCCAUACACGUACACACACAGACUGCUGAGUCC
Pelobates cultripes (western spadefoot toad) is the source of this 211-nucleotide non-coding RNA. The record is from the annotation of a GenBank genome assembly. Lineage: Eukaryota; Metazoa; Chordata; Amphibia; Anura; Pelobatidae.